This is a non-coding RNA of Zootermopsis nevadensis, 2226 nucleotides long. NCBI's taxonomy places the organism in Eukaryota, Metazoa, Arthropoda, Insecta, Blattodea, Termopsidae. The record is from RefSeq and is a predicted model, not a curated record.
UGGAGUGUGCUCGGUCGGACAUCUACUUCAGACCUAUUGUCGAUAGAUGCCAGGAGAUUUCUCACUGUUUUCCUGACGUUGCCGUUCUGCCUCGUUUGUUUCCUUGGGUCAGAAUCAUUGUAGGAUGCGUUCUGUCAAAUAUUACGAGGGCUUGCAAGUUAAUUUGAUGUUAUUUGAGCGUGUGUUGAAUUUAUGUGUGUAACUUUUCCCUUGUGUGGAGGACGUAAAGUAGGCGUGCUUGCAAGCUGAUAGACCAGUGUGCAUGGUGGACAUAACUCAUCAGGUGGUUGGGAUGAACCAGACACAUGGUAGUAGCCUCAGUUUUUGACUUGCUUGACGAAUCUUGUAGAUGGGACACAUGCCUUUGCAAGAUAAUUUAUAUAAACUAUACAGAGACAAGAUACCCUUGCUAGAAGCAACUUGGAUAAUUCCUAUAUUUAAUUUAAGUGCUGAAGAAUUUCAAACAGAAAAUCAUUCAGUAUUUCAGCAAAUUUAGGAAGCAAAUUAUGAAAAUAAUUUUACAUUAUGGGAGGUGAGUUAACAAUCCCUUAGUCAUGCAAGUUUAUGUUCAAGAUGAUAAAUUAUUCUUUAACAUUUUAUGUGAACGCAUCACAUCAUACCCCUGGUUGUAUGAUACUUACUUUCUGGGUGCACAAUGUGCAGCUGUAAGUACAAAGUACUUGCUGAUGAGAGAGCCACCACACUUCCAGUCAAUGUUUCCAUUUUCAUAAUAACCUAAUGCAGCCUGUAAUCAUAUUAUAAAUAAAGAUAAUUAUUCAUUACAGUUAAGUACAAUGUAUGACCUGGCUUUCUCAGGAUUCAGGGGUUGAGCUCAAUAUUAACCUAGCACUGAAGAAAUUCUAGAUCUAAAGCCCAAUACUGCAUCUAUGGAUGUAGUUUUGCUAAUAUGAAAGAUUUAAGAGGUUUGGGGUGCUUAUUAAUUAAUCUGCCUUCUCUGGACUCUGGUAGAGUGUGGCCAGAUUUGAUGCUAAAAGUUUAUUCAGAAUAAUUUUAAAGGUAAAGUUAAAUUAAAUGAGGACUGAUGAAGUCCAGUCUUGACUUUAAAUUAUGUUUGAAAAUUUGCCAUUCACUGAAUUAUAUUUUUAAAAAACAUCUCAUGUAUGUCUCAAAAUGUGUUGUUUCUUGCAGUAUGUGUGUGCUUGAAACUCAAAAGUCAGACACUGAGAAUUGUGUUAACGUCUCAUUACCAUAUGAGGAAACUCUUUGAGCUUUGUUUCUUCACCGCCCACAAUUAAUUGCACACUGGUGAAGUCACACUUUGGUAUCUCAACAUGUAUAGGCUCAGGGGCAGGCACUAGAGGCAGAGCUGCAAUCGUAGACGUCACCGGCCUUGAAUAUUCAUUACAUUCUGAAACAGAAUGGAUACUAAAUUUCAGUAUGUAUGAGAGUUUAUGUGUAACUUAAUUAUUAAUUCCAUAUCUACUAAUUUAAAAUACACUAUUAGCCUUAGAAUCAUAUUUAAAUAUCAAAAGUAUGAAGUCAGUAAAUCAGGCAUUUAGAAAAGUAAUUAGAUAUCCAUAGUUGUACUGAAAGAUUAAUUUCACAGAACAAAAGUAAUUUAUGGGCUAUAUAUCCAUACUUCAACAAAGGUGUAAAAUCUGUUACUACAAUUUUAAAAAAUACUACUAUGAUAGUACUAUACUGUAACAGUAAUAUUCCUAAUAAGGAGGAUACAUUUCUAGAAAAUUGUACACACACAAAAGUAAUUUCAGCAGGGAAAACCAUAAAGAUCUAAAUGAGAAAAGUAUUUUUUUCAGGAGAAAAUGAGUUGAAAGAAAUGUUAUUGAAGUUAAUGUGUUUAAUACUGUAAAUAAUCACUCUUUCAAGAUUAACAUUGAGAUUUAAACUAUAACAUGAAAAAUUAUCUGUAUUAGGGUUGUAUAAUAAGCAAUGCAGAAUUUAAAUCAAGAAGGAUAAUUAAAGGAGAAUUUCACUUAGUUUAAAAGAAUCAGUGAGCAAAAAUAACAAGUAUUACUGCAUUAUACAGUGCAACCCUUAUGAUGGUGAAGUCAUUUUCCCUCACCUUUUCCACUAGAGAUAUAUACUGAAAAUCUUUCAGAAUAUUUGACCUUGAGUUUUGGUGAAUUUAGACUCCUGAAUGCAGAGCAGACAUGCUAAAUGUAAGUCAAUGAAGUUGAAUCAUCAGAGCAAACAAAAAUAUUUGCCUGUUCCCUUUAUACAAUAAAGUUUGAAUACAGUAAAUGA